GUGAAGAUGCUAUGAACGUUGUUGAAAUAACGACAAAGAAUUUAAAACAUUGCUUAAACUUAAUUGAUAAAGCGGAGGCAGGGUUUGAGAGAACUGACUGCAGUUUUAAAAGAAGUUCCGCUGUCGGUAAAAAGCUAUCAAACAGCAUCACAUGCUACAGAGAAAGUUGA
Molecule: long non-coding RNA, 170 nt
Organism: Sapajus apella (tufted capuchin)
Lineage: Eukaryota; Metazoa; Chordata; Mammalia; Primates; Cebidae
Exons: 3
Source: RefSeq, a predicted model, not a curated record